Molecule: ribosomal RNA, 401 nt
Filed under: uncultured Clostridium sp.
Lineage: Bacteria; Bacillati; Bacillota; Clostridia; Eubacteriales; Clostridiaceae
Description: bacterial SSU rRNA
Rfam family: Bacterial small subunit ribosomal RNA
Source: RNAcentral
UGGGGAAUAUUGGACAAUGGGGGAAACCCUGAUCCAGCGACGCCGCGUGAGUGAAGAAGUAUUUCGGUAUGUAAAGCUCUAUCAGCAGGGAAGAUAAUGACGGUACCUGACUAAGAAGCCCCGGCUAACUACGUGCCAGCAGCCGCGGUAAUACGUAGGGGGCAAGCGCUAUCCGGAUUUACUGGGUGUAAAGGGAGCGUAGACGGCGAAGCAAGUCUGAUGUGAAAGGCAGGGGCUCAACUCCUGGACUGCAUUGGAAACUGUUUGGCUAGAGUGCAGGAGAGGUAAGUGGAAUUCCAGUGUAGCGGUGAAAUGCGUAGAGAUUGGGGAAGAACACCAGUGGCGAAGGCGACUUACUGGGCUGUAACUGACGCUGAGGCGCGAAAGCGUGGGGAGCAAAC